Molecule: microRNA precursor, 94 nt
Filed under: Cricetulus griseus (Chinese hamster)
Lineage: Eukaryota; Metazoa; Chordata; Mammalia; Rodentia; Cricetidae
Description: mir-344
Source: RNAcentral
UUCUCUGGGGUUGUUAACAGCCAGGCUUAGCCUAAGUCCAGCUAAAAGCUGGACUUUAGACAGGAGCCUGGCUGGAAAAAACCCUUCUGUACUG